RNAcentral lists this ribosomal RNA (253 nucleotides) under uncultured prokaryote. RNAcentral describes it as "partial 16S ribosomal RNA". It matches the Rfam family "Bacterial small subunit ribosomal RNA", at positions 524 to 776 of the family's 1533-position model. The record is from RNAcentral.
UACAGAGGGUGCAAGCGUUAAUCGGAAUUACUGGGCGUAAAGCGCGCGUAGGUGGUUCAGCAAGUUGGAUGUGAAAGCCCUGGGCUCAACCUGGGGUGGUCAGCUAAGACUGUGUGACUUGAGUAUAGGAGAGGGUAGUGGAAUUUCCGGUGUAGCGGUGAAAUGCGUAGAGAUCGGAAGGAACACCAGUGGCGAAGGCGACCACCUGGACUGAUACUGACACUGAGGUGCGAAAGCGUGGGGAGCAAACAGG